UACGUAGGGGGCAAGCGUUGUCCGGAAUCAUUGGGCGUAAAGAGCGUGUAGGCGGUCCGGUAAGUCGGUUGUGAAAGUCCAGGGCUCAACCCUGGGAUGCCGAUCGAUACUGUCGGACUAGAGUUCGGAAGAGGCGAGUGGAAUUCCCCGUGUAGCGGUGAAAUGCGCAGAUAUCGGGAGGAACACCAAUGGCGAAGGCAGCUCGCUGGGACGUUACUGACGCUGAGACGCGAAAGCGUGGGGAGCAAACAGG
Molecule: ribosomal RNA, 253 nt
Filed under: uncultured bacterium
Lineage: Bacteria
Description: partial 16S ribosomal RNA
Rfam family: Bacterial small subunit ribosomal RNA
Source: RNAcentral